CCCAAAUUUACCAACUUCUGAUUCCGCUACCGGAUUUCAGAAGGCCGCUCUCACUCUCAUGGCUUCCAAACCAAAAGCCCCAGCUCCUCUAUAAUAUUGCAGGGCCAGCGUUGCAGAGCUCACCGAAAAGGGCGAGGACAUUAUCCACUCAAUCCUCCAUGAACGACGCCUUCUCCUUAAUAACCUCAACGACGAAAGAGUGGUGAAAGCAAGCCGUGAUAUCACAAUGAAAAGCAAAAAGGUCAUUUUUCAAGUACAUAGAUUUGAACCGUCCAGGUAUGCACAUGAAGUUGAUUAAGUUCCUUCUCAAAAUCAAGGCACCUUUAAUAGUUUAUGUAUCAUGUAAUCCUGCAACCCGUGCUUGCCAUCUUGAUUAUCUCUGCCACGGCGUGGUGGAGCAAGGCAUUAAAUGUUGUUACAAACUGAAGAGCUUACAGCCAGUAGAUAUGUUCCCCCACACUCAUAUUGAAUGUGUUUGCCUACUGGAACUCAUUCCUGAUUCCCAGAUGGGACCAUGAUUUUUUUUACUGAAAUUCAAGCCUUCUUUAUUCAUGGAUUCCAACCGGGAAAGAGAAGGAUUUCUAUUUAUGCUGUUUUUUCUGAAUCAAAUCUCAUAGCAGAGCAAGAUGAGGUGGUUUUGUGAGUUUUGUAGUUGCUACAGAAUGUAUACCAAAUGCGUCAUUAGUUAAAUCAAUAUUAAAAAAAAAAAGGUUUUGUUCAAAA
This is a non-coding RNA of Momordica charantia (bitter melon), 723 nucleotides long. NCBI's taxonomy places the organism in Eukaryota, Viridiplantae, Streptophyta, Magnoliopsida, Cucurbitales, Cucurbitaceae. The record is from RefSeq and is a predicted model, not a curated record.